UUAUCUUCGUUGCCGAAAAAAAUCCGAAGAUAUGUACUGCCGAAGAUAUACAUAUAUAUAUGUAAAAAAAACACGAGGAAAAAAAAUUACGAAAAGCUGUAAAGAGCAUUAGCUUUGUGCAAUUACGCCAACGUCGCGACGGCCGACGCUUUUCCAACGAGACGGCUGCUCCUUCGUGUGGAAAUGAACAGUUUCCGGCGUGUUGAGAAACCCUAUAAAAAUUGAAUCGGGAUCGAGAUUCGGUUGUGUAAUUGCACUUUGCGAAAUAAAAUGCGUGGCACGUUUGGAAAAGCGUCGUCCCACCAGCAGCUCUGAGCUAGCUAACAGAAGUAAAAAAAACAGGUAAAUGCGUGUAUCAGCUACAAAGAAAAAGAAAGAAUCAAAAUUAAUAUUGUUAAGUUCGAAUAAGAAUGAUUUAAUUAAAAUAAAUGAUAAAUUAGAAAGAGAAAAACAGAUAAUAGAACGUAAAUUUACGAGGUGUGCGGGAUCGUCUCGUCGGGACGAAUUGAACUUCGGAUUGACUCGGCAAUAAUCGGUCGCGUUCGGCUGAAAGCCUCGAUAGCUGGUGCCUCGAACCGAUCGCGUCCGAUUAGUGCCGUGUCGAAGUUACGACUGUCGUGCGAAAUGAAUCUCGAGCGUUACGAAUGUCGAGACGUGAUUCGAUCUUGCCCGAUCUCGUCCGAAUUUUGCCGAAUUCCCGUUAAUUCAGGAUCCUGCACAUCUCUUACGUAAAUAGAACGAAAUAUCGGUACCGAUUCCGAUAGAUUAAGAGAAAUAGAAACAGAGGGACCUUAAUAAUUAAGUGCCGGCCUUUAUGAAAAUAAAUCUCACCGUGACCUGUGUGUGCAACCUUUCUACUCGAUCAGUAGUAGCCUGUGGCGUUAGUUUUUCACGGCACGAUUGCGAUCGAAAAGAAAAAAAGUACAAAAAGAUACGAGAAAUAAUUAAAAAAUAUAUAUAUAUAUAUAAAGAAAAAAGAAAUAAUGAGAUUCUAAUAAUAAUGAAAAAACAGAAUUAAAAAAGGUCACUUAUACGAUAUGCAAAGACUAUUUUGUUUCUUGCAAGCGGCAUGUAUGCACUACGGAAACGUUCGUAAUUCUUCAAAGAGGAAAAGAAAC
Apis dorsata (giant honeybee) is the source of this 1118-nucleotide long non-coding RNA. RefSeq lists it as uncharacterized. The record is from RefSeq and is a predicted model, not a curated record. The transcript has 2 exons. NCBI's taxonomy places the organism in Eukaryota, Metazoa, Arthropoda, Insecta, Hymenoptera, Apidae.